UUACUACUCCCUCUGUCCAGAAUUACUUGUCAUAGAAAUGGAUGUAUCUAGACAUUUUUAGUUCCAGAUACAUCCAUUUCUGCGACAAGUAAUUCGGGACGGAGGGAGUAGUAG
Non-coding RNA from Triticum aestivum (bread wheat), 114 nucleotides. Lineage: Eukaryota; Viridiplantae; Streptophyta; Magnoliopsida; Poales; Poaceae. The record is from Rfam.